UUUGGUGAUGAUGGCGAAGAGGUCACACCCGUUCCCAUUCCGAACACGGAAGUUAAGCUCUUCAGCGCCGAUGGUAGUUGGGACUUUGUCCCUGUGAGAGUAGGACGUUGCCAAGC
This 116-nucleotide ribosomal RNA is filed under the name Bacillus sp. BGMRC 2118. The record is from RNAcentral. Lineage: Bacteria; Bacillati; Bacillota; Bacilli; Caryophanales; Bacillaceae.